RNAcentral lists this ribosomal RNA (354 nucleotides) under Sirex noctilio. Its description in RNAcentral is "partial 16S ribosomal RNA". The record is from RNAcentral. Lineage: Eukaryota; Metazoa; Arthropoda; Insecta; Hymenoptera; Siricidae.
AUAAUCAAUUGUUUUUUAAUUUAAAUCUAGAAUGAAUGGUUUAACGAAAUAUUAACUGUCUCAAAUUUAAUAAUAUUUGAAUUUAAAUUUUUAGUAAAAAUGCUGAAAAUAUAUUUAAAAGACGAGAAGACCCUAUAGAAUUUUAUAAUUUAUGUUUAUAUAAUUUAUUUAAAUUUUGAAUAUAUAUAUAUAUACACACAUUAUUUAAUUGGGGAAAUUUUAAAAAAAAAUUUUUAAUUAAUUUUAACAAAAAUUAUUGAAUUUUUGAGUAUUUAUUAAUAAAUAAAAGAUAAAAUUACCUUAGGGAUAACAGCAUAAUUUUUUUUGAAAGUUCAAAUUGAUAAAAAAGAUUAU